Molecule: small nuclear RNA, 139 nt
Filed under: Operophtera brumata (winter moth)
Lineage: Eukaryota; Metazoa; Arthropoda; Insecta; Lepidoptera; Geometridae
Description: U2 spliceosomal RNA
Rfam family: U2 spliceosomal RNA
About the family: U2 is a small nuclear RNA (snRNA) component of the spliceosome (involved in pre-mRNA splicing). Complementary binding between U2 snRNA (in an area lying towards the 5' end but 3' to hairpin I) and the branchpoint sequence (BPS) of the intron results the bulging out of an unpaired adenosine, on the BPS, which initiates a nucleophilic attack at the intronic 5' splice site, thus starting the first of two transesterification reactions that mediate splicing.
Source: Rfam by way of RNAcentral
GUCACUUAACGGCCUUUUAGUGAUCGGACGGCAGUAUAUUAAACUGAUUUUUGUAAAGCGACGGGAUGUUCGGAGCUCGCUCCACUCCCGUCACGGGUCGGCCCGGCAUUGCAGUGCCGCCGGGAUCGGCCCACAGAAA